Molecule: small RNA, 133 nt
Filed under: Klebsiella pneumoniae
Lineage: Bacteria; Pseudomonadati; Pseudomonadota; Gammaproteobacteria; Enterobacterales; Enterobacteriaceae
Description: RtT sRNA
Rfam family: RtT RNA
About the family: This family represents a bacterial cis-regulatory element known as RtT RNA. The exact function of RtT is unknown although it is thought that it may be involved in changing the cellular response in relation to amino acid starvation.
Source: RNAcentral
UAUUCUGCCCCAUGGGGAAGGAUGAGAAGCUUCGACUAAGGUUCGACUCGAGCGCAAGCGAGAGAACGUUGCCGCAGGCAACGGCCCGAAGGGCGAGGCGCUUUAGCGCCGAGUAAUCCUUCCCCCACCACCA